This 279-nucleotide ribosomal RNA is filed under the name uncultured bacterium. RNAcentral describes it as "partial 16S ribosomal RNA". It matches the Rfam family "Bacterial small subunit ribosomal RNA", at positions 506 to 784 of the family's 1533-position model. The record is from RNAcentral.
UGCCAGUAGCCGCGGUAAUACGGAGGGGGUUAGCGUUGUUCGGAAUUACUGGGCGUAAAGCGCACGUAGGCGGACUGGAAAGUUGGGGGUGAAAUCCCGGGGCUCAACCCCGGAACUGCCUUGUAAACUCCUGGUCUUGAGUUCGAGAGAGGUGAGUGGAAUUCCGAGUGUAGAGGUGAAAUUCGUAGAUAUUCGGAGGAACACCAGUGGCGAAGGCGGCUCACUGGCUCGAUACUGACGCUGAGGUACGAAAGCGUGGGGAGCAAACAGGAUUAGAUA